Long non-coding RNA from Cucurbita moschata (crookneck pumpkin), 105 nucleotides. RefSeq lists it as uncharacterized. NCBI's taxonomy places the organism in Eukaryota, Viridiplantae, Streptophyta, Magnoliopsida, Cucurbitales, Cucurbitaceae. The transcript has 3 exons. The record is from RefSeq and is a predicted model, not a curated record.
UGCCAUAAAUUUAGGAGCAAAAGACGAGUUUCAGUAGCAACAAACUAAACAAAGAAAGCGACUAUCAGCUACUUUUUAUAUAUAAUGUUCAUCUUCUGAUAUAGU